UCAGGAGGAACACCAAUGCCGAAGGCAGGUCUCUGGGCCAAUACUGACACUGAGGAGCGAAAGUCUGGGGAGCGAACAGGAUUAGAUACCCUGGUAGUCCAGACCGUAAACGGUGGGCACUAGUUGUGGGAACCUUCCACGGUUUCUGCGACGCAGCUAACGCAUUAAGUGCCCCGCCUGGGGAGUACGAUCGCAAGAUUAAAACUCAAAGGAAUUGACGGGGCCCCGCACAAGCAGCGGAGCAUGCGGCUUAAUUCGACGCAACGCGAAGAACCUUACCAAGGCUUGACAUAUAGGGAAAAGUGGCAGAGAUGUCAUGUCCGCAAGGGCUCUAUACAGGUGGUGCAUGGUUGUCGUCAGCUCGUGUCGUGAGAUGUUGGGUUAAGUCCCGCAACGAGCGCAACCCUCGUUCUGUGUUGCCAGCAUUUAGUUGGGGACUCACAGGAGACUGCCGGGGUUAACUCGGAGGAAGGUGGGGAUGACGUCAAAUCAUCAUGCCCCUUAUGUCUUGGGCUGCACGCAUGCUACAAUGGCCGGUACAGAGGGCUGCAAUACCGUAAGGUGGAGCGAAUCCCAAAAAGCCGGUCUCAGUUCGGAUUGAGGUCUGCAACUCGACCUCAUGAAGUUGGAGUUGCUAGUAAUCGUAGAUCAGCAUCGCUACGGUGAAUACGUUCCCGGGGCUUGUACACACCGCCCGUCACGUCACGAAAGUC
This 713-nucleotide ribosomal RNA is filed under the name uncultured Actinomycetes bacterium. RNAcentral describes it as "bacterial SSU rRNA". It matches the Rfam family "Bacterial small subunit ribosomal RNA", at positions 697 to 1412 of the family's 1533-position model. Lineage: Bacteria; Bacillati; Actinomycetota; Actinomycetes. The record is from RNAcentral.